UAGAGUUUGAUCCUGGCUCAGAUUGAACGCUGGCGGCAGGCCUAACACAUGCAAGUCGAGCGAAUGAGGGUAGCUUGCUACCUGAUUUAGCGGCGGACGGGUGAGUAAUGUAUAGGGAGCUGCCCGAUAGAGGGGGAUACCAGUUGGAAACGACUGUUAAUACCGCAUAAUGUCUACGGACCAAAGUGUGGGACCUUCGGGCCACAUGCUAUCGGAUGCACCUAUAUGGGAUUAGCUAGUUGGUGGGGUAACGGCUCACCAAGGCGACGAUCCCUAGCUGGUUUGAGAGGAUGAUCAGCCACACUGGAACUGAGACACGGUCCAGACUCCUACGGGAGGCAGCAGUGGGGAAUAUUGGACAAUGGGCGCAAGCCUGAUCCAGCCAUGCCGCGUGUGUGAAGAAGGCCUUCGGGUUGUAAAGCACUUUCAGCGAGGAGGAAGGAUGUUGUGUUAAUAGCACAGCAUUUUGACGUUACUCGCAGAAGAAGCACCGGCUAACUCCG
RNAcentral lists this ribosomal RNA (503 nucleotides) under uncultured Rheinheimera sp. RNAcentral's name for it is "bacterial SSU rRNA". It matches the Rfam family "Bacterial small subunit ribosomal RNA", at positions 1 to 505 of the family's 1533-position model. Lineage: Bacteria; Pseudomonadati; Pseudomonadota; Gammaproteobacteria; Chromatiales; Chromatiaceae. The record is from RNAcentral.